Molecule: ribosomal RNA, 720 nt
Filed under: uncultured bacterium
Lineage: Bacteria
Description: bacterial SSU rRNA
Rfam family: Bacterial small subunit ribosomal RNA
Source: RNAcentral
AUAUCGGAACGUAUCCAAUAAUGGGGGAUAACUAAUCGAAAGGUUAGCUAAUACCGCAUACGCCCUACGGGGGAAAGCAGGGGAUCUUCGGACCUUGCGUUAAUGGAGCGGCUGAUAUCUGAUUAGCUAGUAGGUGAGGUAAAGGCUCACCUAGGCUUCGAUCAGUAGCUGGUCUGAGAGGACGACCAGCCACACUGGAACUGAGACACGGUCCAGACUCCUACGGGAGGCAGCAGUGGGGAAUUUUGGACAAUGGGCGCAAGCCUGAUCCAGCCAUUCCGCGUGAGUGAAGAAGGCCUUCGGGUUGUAAAGCUCUUUCGCAAGGGAAGAAACGAUACCGACGAAUAAUCGGUGUUAAUGACGGUACCUUGAUAAGAAGCACCGGCUAACUACGUGCCAGCAGCCGCGGUAAUACGUAGGGUGCGAGCGUUAAUCGGAAUUACUGGGCGUAAAGCGUGCGCAGGCGGUUUUGUAAGUCAGAUGUGAAAUCCCCGGGCUCAACCUGGGAACUGCGUUUGAAACUACAAGGCUAGAGUAUGGUAGAGGGGGGUAGAAUUCCACGUGUAGCAGUGAAAUGCGUAGAGAUGUGGAGGAAUACCAAUGGCGAAGGCAGCCCCCUGGACUAAUACUGACGCUCAUGCACGAAAGCGUGGGGAGCAAACAGGAUUAGAUACCCUGGUAGUCCACGCCCUAAACGAUGUCUACUAGUUGUUGGGAGAG